UCCUUCCCGACUGACUGAUUUUUGGCCUGGCAUCCCCUUCUUCUGCAAUGCCAGAUGUAGUUAUGUCCUUUCUUGUUUUUUUAAGAAUAUCAUGUCUGACCAAAAACUUAGUGGCACUUUCUUCAUUGUGGCCAACUUCUCGAUAAAACACAGCAAGAUGAAUGGGGUUUACUGGAACAUGAUUAUUUAGAAAAGUGGUUCCCAAACUUGACCAUACCAAGGACACCCGCAUAAAAGGAGUCCCAGCCCAGGACCCCAGCCAAUCAAAAGUAUUUUCAAAUAUUUUUAAUAUUUUUAUUGCUUUAAAUUGAAUACAAAAUGAAAUUGUUGAAAGCAGCCACAAUAGAUAUUUGUGUACAGUAUAUACUGUCACCACCGUCACCACCGGUAAUAAAAGAUAUGCUAGCUAGCUGCUUGUACACCGAAGUAUCGAUAACAGACACUAGGGUAAUAGAGAAUCAGUGAUAUUUUUUGUGUAUCUUUUGUGGAGUAUAUAAAAUAUUAUUUUUAUCAUUGUCAUUGCGUCGUGGAUCUCCUAGGUUUUCACCUGGACCCCCAUAAGUCCGCGGACCCCAGUUUAGGAACUUCUGAUUUAGACAAUGCAACAUGUACUUUUGUUCAAGAAUCACUUUGGAAGUUGCUGUUAGUUUAUAAAAAAGAAUGUGAGAAUGGAGUCUGGCGUUACAGAUCUACUGUAAACACAAGUUGCCCUGCAUUGAUAGUUCAAAGGAGUACUUUAUCAGUUGAUACUUCAAUAAUUAGUGUUAAAUGUUUAAAUGUAUACUAUGA
Molecule: long non-coding RNA, 789 nt
Organism: Macrobrachium nipponense
Lineage: Eukaryota; Metazoa; Arthropoda; Malacostraca; Decapoda; Palaemonidae
Exons: 2
Source: RefSeq, a predicted model, not a curated record